UGGGUGUAGACUUUCAGGAAGCACAGCCAUGAAGCUGCAUGCGUCUGUGUGUGGAUGCCUCAUGCCUUUUCCUGGUGGUUUGCAGGCAUGGAAGAUUCUUCUGUUCAUCUAAGCUCCUGACUUUAGGCCCUUCUAGAACAUUAGAGAGGAGAAGAAAUCACGUGCAAGGAUUUAGGGACAAGAGGAUGAGGUUUUGGUGUUUCCUUUCUGGUAUUAGGUUUUCCAGAGAGAGGCUGUUAGCCUGUCUCUCGCCCACUCCACCACUGUGAAUCCUGGCUACUGGGGCUAGUUCCUUGCUAGGAAAAAAAAACUCUAGAGAAAUGUGUUUGUGUGUGGUGGGUGGGCGGGGGCCCUGAGGAUGCAGGGACUGUGUCUGCUGUGUUGUCUGUUAUAAGAUGUUUCAGACCUAUUUUGCAUACUGGCAGCGACAAGUUGAGACUUGUUCAACUUGACACAGUCCUGUGGUCAUAGCGAAUCUUUCUAAAGCUCUGAUCAGUCAAGAAGGGGGUUGUAUCAAUCCUCAGAACCCUGAGUGGAACUUUCUACAGGAUUUAUUAGGAGAAAAACCUUCCCGGAAGCUGCAGAAGGACAAAUACAGAAUCCGUGUCUGGGAGAAACCUCGUGGCCUGGUCUCCAUUAUUUGAGAUGAGUUACAUCUUGGAGGUGAGGACGUGCCUCGUGGUCUAAAGCUUCGGCACAAGGGCCCAACUGGAAUUCCACUUACGGGCCUGAUCUUUUGGCCAGAAGGAGAUUAAAAAGAUGCCCCUCAAGAUGGCUGUGCCUGUCAGCUGCAUGGAGCUUCGUUCAAGUAUUUUCUGAGCCUGAUGGAUUUACAGUGAUCUUCAGUGGUCUGGGGAAUAACGCUGGUGGAACCAUGCACUGGAAUGACACACGCCCGGCACAUUUCAGGAUACUAAAAGUGGUUUUAAGGGAGGCUGUGGCUGAAUGCCUCAUGGAUUCUUACAGCUUGGAUGUCCAUGGGGGACGAAGGACUGCAGCUGGCUGAGAGGGUUGAGAUCUCUGUUUACUUAGAUCUCUGCCAACUUCCUUUGGGUCUCCCUAUGGAAUGUAAGACCCCGACUCUUCCUGGUGAAGCAUCUGAUGCACGUUCCAUCCGGCGCUCAGCUGGGCUUGAGAUUCCUGGGAACACCACCAUGGAGGGCCUGGCCUUUGGCGGUGGACAGUCUGUGGCUGGGUGGGAACGUCAGGAGUGGGGCCUGCCUCUUUGCUGGGAAUGCCGUGCACUCCCAGCCCACUUGCCCCAUGCCAGCACUCGAGGCAGGACUUCGCAGGUGAGCAGUAACGGAAAUCAGCCCCGUUUAUUCCUCCCAGCACCUGCCUUAUCCAACUCCCCACGCUGUGGCUGAGUCCCAGCCUGCUAUGGAAGCAUCACUGGACUCCCAUUGAACUCUGUGCAGAUUCGCUGUUCGUAGACAUGGUACCUGAUGGACACCAAGCUACGUACAGCUUCAAGGCCCCUUCUUUCUUUGCUAAUAAAAAAUAAAAAAUAAAAACAUAA
This is a long non-coding RNA of Homo sapiens (human), 1519 nucleotides long. Ensembl annotates it as Pvt1 oncogene. Its record names the gene PVT1. The record is from Ensembl. Lineage: Eukaryota; Metazoa; Chordata; Mammalia; Primates; Hominidae.